RNAcentral lists this long non-coding RNA (591 nucleotides) under Homo sapiens (human). Its description in RNAcentral is "HSALNT0245044". Lineage: Eukaryota; Metazoa; Chordata; Mammalia; Primates; Hominidae. The record is from RNAcentral.
GGACUGGGAUGAGGGAGAUGACUAAUGUGUGACGCCAACAUGUCACGCCACACACCGGGAAAUACUAACGCAUAGGCUUCCAUUCCAGCAGUAUGGAUCCUCAAUCUAAUAGAAGCACACAUCAAUCUGGGACCACAGAGAGUAUUCAUCAGGGAGAUGAAGUCACAAGGUAACUAAGUAGCCUGGAAUCCACAAAGGAGCAAGGCCCUCCAAGGAGAGAAGAGAUGCAUGAAUGACCUACCUCCCUCGUGGCAGAACAAGGGAGGAGGAGGUUCUGCAGCCUAAGUGGCAAGGAGAGUCAGCUACAAUUUUAAAGAACCGCUGAAGGCCCCGUGUGCACUAGUGUAUCAGUCUGAAAUAGAUGCAAGCAUCUGCUAAAACAGGAAUUCCUGUUUACUCACAGGAUAUUUCCCACGAGCCUCUGACGGGUGCUCUGAGAAAGAUUUGGGCCGGCAGGACACCUGAGAGAGCCACCAUUUGCAGCGCAGACCAGCAGAAGGUGAUCAGCUGCCACCGUGAAGGAGACAGAAAACUCUGCCAUUUCCCUAGAGCUUCCUCUCAUAUGAAGCAAAAGCCUUAAACCACUAGAGG